Molecule: ribosomal RNA, 297 nt
Rfam family: Eukaryotic large subunit ribosomal RNA
AGGAGUCUAGCAUGUGCGCGAGUCAUUGGGACAUUGAUAAACCUAAAGGCGCAAUGAAAGUGAAGGUCCGCCUUGCGCGGACCGAGGGAGGAUGGGCCCGUCCACGGGCGGGCCCCGCACUCCCGGGGCGUCUCGUUCUCAUCGCGAGAAGAGGCGCACCCAGAGCGUACACGCUGGGACCCGAAAGAUGGUGAACUAUGCCUGGUCAGGACGAAGUCAGGGGAAACCCUGAUGGAGGUCCGUAGCGAUUCUGACGUGCAAAUCGAUCGUCGGAACUGGGUAUAGGGGCGAAAGACU